GGGAAAAAAUUAUUUUCUCUAAGACUCCAGAGACACUUUUCUUAGUCAUGUCCAGUAAUAUUUUUCAAAUAUUUUGGAAGAAAUAAGCUCCUCACUAUACCACCAGUUAGUGAUUU
RNAcentral lists this long non-coding RNA (116 nucleotides) under Pongo abelii (Sumatran orangutan). Its description in RNAcentral is "lincRNA". The record is from RNAcentral. Lineage: Eukaryota; Metazoa; Chordata; Mammalia; Primates; Hominidae.